RNAcentral lists this ribosomal RNA (514 nucleotides) under uncultured archaeon. RNAcentral describes it as "bacterial SSU rRNA". It matches the Rfam family "Archaeal small subunit ribosomal RNA", at positions 345 to 859 of the family's 1478-position model. The record is from RNAcentral.
AAACUUUACAAUGCGGGAAACCGCGAUAAGGGGACACUGAGUGCCAGCACCAUGUGUUGGCUGUCCGCAUGUAUAAAUCACAUGUGUUAGCAAGGGCCGGGCAAGACCGGUGCCAGCCGCCGCGGUAACACCGGCGGCUCGAGUGGUAACCGUUAUUAUUGGGUCUAAAGGGUCUGUAGCCGGCCGGAUAAGUCUCUUGGGAAAUCCAGCAGCUUAACUGUUGGGCUUUCAGGAGAUACUGUCUGGCUCGAGGCCGGGAGAGGUGAGAGGUACUUCAGGGGUAGGGGUGAAAUCUUGUAAUCCUUGAAGGACCACCGGUGGCGAAGGCGUCCUACCAGAACAGGUCCGACGGUGAGGGACGAAAGCUAGGGGCACGAACCGGAUUAGAUACCCGGGUAGUCCUAGCCGUAAACGAUGCUCGCUAGGUGUCACGGCAGUCGUGAAUUGCCGUGGUGCCGUAGGGAAGCCGUGAAGCGAGCCACUUGGGAAGUACGACCGCAAGGUUGAAACUUAA